This 497-nucleotide ribosomal RNA is filed under the name uncultured bacterium. RNAcentral describes it as "partial 16S ribosomal RNA". It matches the Rfam family "Bacterial small subunit ribosomal RNA", at positions 28 to 507 of the family's 1533-position model. The record is from RNAcentral.
GAUGAACGCUGGCGGCGUGCCUAAUACAUGCAAGUCGAGCGAACAGACGAGGAGCUUGCUCCUCUGACGUUAGCGGCGGACGGGUGAGUAACACGUGGAUAACCUACCUAUAAGACUGGGAUAACUACGGGAAACCGGAGCUAAUACCGGAUAAUAUAUUGAACCGCAUGGUUCAAUAGUGAAAGACGGUUUUGCUGUCACUUAUAGAUGGAUCCGCGCCGCAUUAGCUAGUUGGUAAGGUAACGGCUUACCAAGGCGACGAUGCGUAGCCGACCUGAGAGGGUGAUCGGCCACACUGGAACUGAGACACGGUCCAGACUCCUACGGGAGGCAGCAGUAGGGAAUCUUCCGCAAUGGGCGAAAGCUUGACGGAGCAACGCCGCGUGAGUGAUGAAGGUCUUCGGAUCGUGAAACUCUGUUAUUAGGGAAGAACAAAUGUGUAAGUAACUAUGCACGUCUUGACGGUACCUAAUCAGAAAGCCACGGCUAACUACGUG